GAGAUGGUGCUGUGGACUGAGAGCAACAAGGGAGAGAAAAUCCAGAUCACGGUCACGCUGACCAACGAACUGCCUCCAUCCUCUCCCGUAUGCCUGCAGUUCUACAACAUUGUCUUCGAGAGGAUUCUGAAGAUUCUAAACAUGCAGCAGAUCGGCUGUCAUUACUACAACCCCGGGGACCCCUGAACAUCCCUCAGCACAAGUUGUCCAUCUGGCCUGGCUUUGUGACCAGCAUCCUGCAGUACGAGUCCGGCAUCAUGCUGUGUUGACGUGAGCCAUAAGGUUUUGCGCAGCGAGACUGUUCUCGACUUCAUGGGCAAACUGAGACAUCAGUGUGGAGACCAACGCUUUGUUGACAUCUGCACCAAGGAUCCUACAGGGAGCGAGAGCAGUAAGGGGGACCGGGGGACCACAGAACACACAGAGAAAACAGAACUGAUCGAGUACGAUGAUCGACAGGAGGCUCUGCUGAGAGCUCUGCAGCAGAACGUGGAGCAACAGGUUCAGAUGCUGCGCUGAAGGCCUUCUUCAAAUACAACAAAUGUUUGCAGUCACGCAUCGUGGUGUACCGAGACGGCGUGGGCGACGGCAUGCUGCUGCAAGUAGUCGACUACGAAGUGCCUCAGUUCAUGCAGUCCAUCAAGGCCAUGGGCGAAGAUUACGUGUGAGACUCGACACAUCUCGCUAUCUUUUGAUGCCUGGUCCCUGCCAUGCGUCAGCUUUGAAGACAAGGACAGCCCUGGGGGCAUCGCCAAACUCCUUCAACAACCGUGCAGCCUGCUUUGCGCCACACAACCUUUUCCUCCACCGUAGCUCAUGCUUGGAGGUUUAAAAGCUGUGAAGAAGGAGUGAUUAUUUUCUCAGAGGAUAGUACACAGAGUAGUGCUGUUAAGGAUGUCAUUGUCGCCGCCUGCUUUUGUUUCGCUGCAUGGUCCGCUCGGGCGUGACCUAGGGAAACGGUCUAAUUUGUUAGUGUGUGCAUUACAUUUGCAUACUGCAAUAGCUUUACAGGUAGGACUGCGUCCAGCAGCUCAGAGACUAGUUUGGGGUGGGCUAUGUGUGUUCCUGAACUCAUCAGGAAGAUCCCGUGUUUCCAAAUUGUCCCCAAAUCAUGUUCUACCCCAAAGGCAUAUCUACUGUCUAAUAGAUUAAACAAAAAAUGUUUUGUCAUAUCUGUGAUUGUUUAUUUGCUACGGAGUAAAAAAACCCCAAAAAAAACAGGUGA
Ictalurus furcatus (blue catfish) is the source of this 1225-nucleotide RNA transcript. It is a transcript of the gene named piwi-like RNA-mediated gene silencing 1, with no coding region annotated. Lineage: Eukaryota; Metazoa; Chordata; Actinopteri; Siluriformes; Ictaluridae. The record is from RefSeq and is a predicted model, not a curated record. The transcript has 6 exons.